Molecule: ribosomal RNA, 447 nt
Filed under: uncultured bacterium
Lineage: Bacteria
Description: partial 16S ribosomal RNA
Rfam family: Bacterial small subunit ribosomal RNA
Source: RNAcentral
CCAGACUCCUACGGGAGGCAGCAGUGGGGGAUAUUGCACAAUGGGGGAAACCCUGAUGCAGCGACGCCGCGUGGGCGAAGAAGUAUUUCGGUAUGUAAAGCCCUAUCAGCAGGGAAGAAGAAAUGACGGUACCUGAGUAAGAAGCACCGGCUAAAUACGUGCCAGCAGCCGCGGUAAUACGUAUGGUGCAAGCGUUAUCCGGAUUCACUGGGUGUAAAGGGAGCGUAGACGGCCAAGCAAGCCAGGGGUGAAAGCCCGGGGCCCAACCCCGGGACUGCCCUUGGAACUGCUUGGCUGGAGUGCGGGAGGGGCAGGCGGAAUUCCUGGUGUAGCGGUGAAAUGCGUAGAUAUCAGGAGGAACACCGGCGGCGAAGGCGGCCUGCUGGACCGCUACUGACGUUGAGGCUCGAAAGCGUGGGGAGCGAACAGGAUUAGAUACCCGGGUAU